CUAUCCUCUAACCUAAUGUGCUCGACUUGUCUAACUGGAGCCAAAGUUAAAAUUAAAAUUAAAAUUAAUAGUGCAAAGUUAAAAUUAAUAAAAACAAAACACAGAAAAAGAAACACGAGAGAGUAAUGGAUGCAAAGUUAUGAAACUGUGACAGGAACUCAUACUGGAAGUGUGAUGAAGAAAAAAAAAGAGACCACCAGAAGGCUUGAAGACAAAGCAGAUGAUAAAAUCACAGUGAGCAGUCAAGUUUCAUUAAUAGCCACAUAAGCUAUAAAUCUCAUAAAUGACAAUUUAAAUAGCAAAUGGAAUGAAAAGGCACAUAAACAGCAGUUGAAAUGAGGCAACCAAACUAAAUGUACAAUAGAAUCCUGAAUCCGAAUGACUAAUGCACUUAAUAGUGCAUACAAUAUGAGUGUGUUAGGAAAAACAUAAUGCAGAACAAUUUUACAACUUUUCAUUUCAUAAACACAUAUCUUUUACACAUAGAGGACCCUGCAUGAUUUAGUAAAUGAGUACAAAUAUUAAGCAUAUAUUUUCCAAAAUCACAUACUUCACAAGUAAACAACAUAUUUUCCAAAUUUUCCAUAUGAAGUCAUGAUAAAGCCACACUAAUCUAUAUGGAAGUUCAAUAGUUAAGUUUCAUUCAAGCUAGAACUGCAAAACUAUCAGAAAUGAACUACCAGGAUACACAGUUAUGUUGACAUGAAAGUUCUCUCAUUUAAUGACUUGGCUAGGCUAGUGUUAUAGACAAACCCAUUAACUCAAUUCAAUACAUCUAGUCAUUUCAACUAGAGAAAUUAAUCUAAGCACCCUUAUUUAGCAUUAAAAAAAUACGAGAUCAUGCAUUUAAUUUUCAUAUCUGGAUGCAAGAUGACAUUACUCAGGAACCGUUUAAUAUGAAAGGUGAAAGAAGUUGGAUGACAUAAUUUCCUAUUAACUAAUGAUAUGGUCAGUCUCUUUACCAGAAAAGGGAUAAAAACACAUAAUAUAUAGACAGUCAUUUCUAAAUGCAUCUAGUUCAGGUAGACACAAACUAUAAUCUAUAGCAAACAAACUUACAGAUCUAGUCAAGAGUUAAAUAAGGCCAACAGUUGACAGAAAGGACUUUGUAUAUUUAUGCAGAGGAGGAGAUAUGCAAAAGCAUCAUAACAAUAAACCUAGAUCUAGCUAGAUAAAGUUCUGCAAAUGGUUUUGUUUUAACCAAUUCAAAUAUGUUCCAAGACAGUUGUCAUGAUUUUGUUUUCUGCAUUAAGAGAAUAUGUGCACUUCUGAAUCCUAAAUGUAAGUACUUUCUCAUUUUCAUUUGUCUUAAUCUUAAAUUCCUAGAUUGUCAGGAGACUAACUUGUGCCUUAGCCUAAUAAUAAAGUUAAGGUUUUCUAGAAGUAGCUGCUAAAGAUCUCACUAAUAACAAUUUUCAUCUCACAAAAUUGCAGAAAAACAAAAGAAAUGAAAAGAAAAGAAAGGAAAAGAAAAACACUGUUAGGACAUUCGAAUUGCAAGAAAUCAAUCACAAGCAAGUGCCUAAAUGAGUUAAUGGAAAGUUUCAAUAUUUUUACAAGUACAUUGACAAGUUAACUAGUGUCCCGAACAAGAAGGGAGUUUUGGCAAUUUUAUUAACAACUAAACACUGGUUUCAAAAAAAUAAAAAUAAAAAAAGGAAAAUUGAAGGAUAAGAAAAUCUCAAUCGAUGAGGGGAACAAGCAACCUCCGUAUUAAUGGUCACGACACAGAGGUAAGCUGUACAAGCAUUGAAGGCUCUGUCUCACCGGGGAUCGGAUGAAACGCACUUUAAUCCCACCAUCUAACUCGUAAUCAUCCAAUGGCUACCACAACACGUGUUCCAUUGUUCUUCUCUUGCUCACCUCGUUGUCGUAAAUACGCUUGCCUGCCAACAACACUUCCAGAAUCUUCCACUCUUUCAUUUCGGUCUUUUCCUUUUUCAUUUCUCUCAACAACCCAUCAUAAUGGAAACAAGAGCUUUAGGAGACUUCGGGCGGUUUCAGCGUCAAUGGCGGAUUCGCGUCCAAGCACUGUUCUUGUCACUGGAGCUGGUGGUAGAACUGGUUCAAUAGUUUAUAAGAAAUUGAAGGAGAGGUCUGGCCAAUAUGUUGCACGAGGUUUGGUCAGAACUCAAGAUAGCAAAGAGAAAAUUGGUGGAGCAGAUGAUGUUUUUGUUGGGGAUAUUAGGGAAGCAGAAAUUAUCACCCCUGCUAUCCAAGGAAUUGAUGCUCUCAUAAUUCUCACAAGUGCAGUGCCGAAGAUGAAACCUGGGUUUGAUCCGUCCAAAGGUGGAAGGCCUGAGUUUUAUUAUGAAGAUGGAGCAUAUCCUGAACAGGUAAUCCACACACACUUCCCUAAAUGUUGGGUCCUGUUACUUCAUUUAUUUGUUCUCGACAUUGUUUGAUGCAAUUUUUUUUUAGGUUGACUGGAUUGGUCAGAAGAAUCAAAUAGACGCUGGUGGGGGUCCAUUUCCUUGUUUCAGGGAUUCAGUUUCCUGUUCUUAGUUGCUUUUUUUUUUCUUUGCUGAAUUAGAUUUUAUCCAUUUGAACAGCUAAGGCGGCGGGAGUGAAUCAGAUUAUUUUGGUUGGGUCUAUGGGUGGGACAAAUCCAAACCAUCCCUUAAACAGUUUGGGCAAUGGGAAUAUAUUGGUCUGUGAUCCUUUUCUGUAACACUUAGAAAUUUACUUCCCUUUUAUGGUAGCUUUGCAGCCUCUGUGAGAACUAGUUUACUCUUCAUUUUGUUAAUUGGACUUUUUUUAGUUCUUUCCUUGAUUAAUUUAUUGUCCUUUCUUCCAUUGAGAGCCUAACUUUGUUCACAAUGUUAUUUUAGAUUUGGAAGAGAAAGGCUGAACAGUAUUUGGCUGAUUCUGGUAUCCCAUACACAAUUAUAAGGUUGAUGCUUUCUAUCUCAUUUGUGCUUCCCAUUUCGAAAUUUGGUGUCAGGGGGCUACACUUUAUACCACAUUAUUGUCAAGACACCAUUGGUGGAGUUUCAUAUUUCUAUUAAGUCAGUGAGGGGAGAAUAUAAUAAUUUAUGUUAUAUGGAAUUUUAUUUUCCGAAGUUGUUUAUGCUGGCAAAAAUGGUUUCUAAGCUUUUGCAUAAUACCCACUGAAUAUAGAAAUAUGAAUUAUCACUGAAUCCAUAUGUUGUGCCCUUGGGCAUUGAGUACCCUCCCAAAUACAAUCCUGUUCUCGGUUCAUUAUGACUCCCAAAAAAAAAAGUUUAAUAAACACCUGAAUUUUCAUAGACGUAGAAAACAGGGUCAAAGACAUUGUAAAAUUUUACCCAGCCUGAUCCCAUUGUAUUUUUCACUGUGCUAUUGCAAUCUCAUUCUUCUUGUUUCUAAUAUUUAAUGUGGCUUGCCAAUUGACAUGGACCUAUUUGGAUGAUUUAGGGCUGGAGGCCUGCAAGAUAAAGAAGGCGGCGUCCGAGAAUUACUUGUUGGGAAGGAUGAUGAACUUCUUCAAACAGAUACAAGAGCCAUUGCAAGGGCUGAUGUUGCAGAAGUCUGCAUUGAGGCAUUAGCAUACGAGGAAGCUAAAUUUAAGGCAUUUGACUUAGCCUCCAAGCCAGAGGGAACUGGCACUCCAACAAAAGAUUUUAAGGCUCUCUUCUCCCAAGUCACCACUCGAUUUUGAUUUUCAAUUGACCAUUAUGACCGGUCUUGGAUGUUACAUUUCUGUGUUUAAACUUCAGAAAGAGUUGUCUGUUGAUGAGCAGAAAGAAAAUAAUAAGAGGAUACUGCACAGCUUGUGAAAGUAUCUUAAAUUAAGAACGGAUGUAUAAUGUUAAUUGCUUAUUUAUUGUUUGCUCAGAGUUGUAUUGGGAAUCGAUGUGUGUGGUUAUAAGCAAUUAAUAAACAAAUUAAUUAAUUCGCAAA
This 3882-nucleotide unclassified non-coding RNA is filed under the name Hevea brasiliensis (rubber tree). The record is from RNAcentral. Lineage: Eukaryota; Viridiplantae; Streptophyta; Magnoliopsida; Malpighiales; Euphorbiaceae.